This 277-nucleotide ribosomal RNA is filed under the name Hemiselmis rufescens. RNAcentral describes it as "partial Eukaryotic large subunit ribosomal RNA". It matches the Rfam family "Eukaryotic large subunit ribosomal RNA", at positions 1008 to 1285 of the family's 3401-position model. The record is from RNAcentral. Lineage: Eukaryota; Cryptophyceae; Cryptomonadales; Hemiselmidaceae.
GUAAAGCGAAUGAUUAGAGGCAUCAGGGAUGGAAUAUCCUUGACCUAUUCUCAAACUUUAAAUGGGUAAGAACCCUGGGUUGCUUAAUUGAACCCGGUGGUCGAAUGACGGUUGCUAGUGGGCCAAUCUGGGUAAGCUAGAUUGGCGAUGCGGGAUGAUCCGAACGUCGAGUUAAAGUGCCAAAGUAUCCGCUAACCUAGAUCCCACAAAAGGUGUUGGUUCAUUAAGACAGCAGGACGGUGGCCAUGGAAGCCGGAAUCCGCUAAGGAGUGUGUAA